GACCCCACCAAAGCUGCCUUGAUAUGCACCAAUCACGUAUAUUCUCAAGCCACCUUUUCCACUCUGCCAAAUAUUGUUUCGGAAAGAAUUCAAGCUUUGAAUUUUCACCAUCAAUUGCUGCAUCAAGAGCCUGCUUUGCCAUACUACUGCAAUCAACAAACCAUUGGGGCUUUAUCAUUGGCUCCACAACAUCAUUGGUUCGUGAACAACAGCCAAGUCGCAUCUCAUUGUUUUUAGCACCCCUAUACAAUCCCUUUUUCUGUAAUGCUUCCUUCACUGCCUCACGGGCCUUGAAACGUGGCAUCCCAGUGAACUCUGAGCCACCAUUGCUAUUAAUCUUACCAUCAUCAGUAAAAAUAUUAAUAAAUUCAAGAUUGUGACGCUUCCCAACCUCAAAAUCAUUUGGAUCAUGCGCUGGAGUGAUCUUGACAGCACC
This 436-nucleotide unclassified non-coding RNA is filed under the name Hevea brasiliensis (rubber tree). The record is from RNAcentral. Lineage: Eukaryota; Viridiplantae; Streptophyta; Magnoliopsida; Malpighiales; Euphorbiaceae.